UACGUAGGGGGCAAGCGUUGUCCGGAUUUAUUGGGCGUAAAGAGCGUGUAGGCGGCCAGGCAGGUCCGCUGUGAAAACUCGAGGCUCAACCUCGAGAGGUCGGUGGAAACCGUCUGGCUAGAGUCCGGAAGAGGAGAGUGGAAUUCCCGGUGUAGCGGUGAAAUGCGCAGAUAUCGGGAAGAACACCCGUGGCGAAGGCGGCUCUCUGGGACGGUACUGACGCUGAGACGCGAAAGCGUGGGGAGCAAACAGG
RNAcentral lists this ribosomal RNA (253 nucleotides) under uncultured bacterium. RNAcentral's name for it is "partial 16S ribosomal RNA". It matches the Rfam family "Bacterial small subunit ribosomal RNA", at positions 524 to 776 of the family's 1533-position model. The record is from RNAcentral.